Rhagoletis zephyria (snowberry fruit fly) is the source of this 295-nucleotide long non-coding RNA. RefSeq lists it as uncharacterized. Lineage: Eukaryota; Metazoa; Arthropoda; Insecta; Diptera; Tephritidae. The record is from RefSeq and is a predicted model, not a curated record.
GCCCGAUUUUUUCUUUCUUUCAAAUAUUGAACAUAUUAGUGAUUAUUGGUAUUCACUAUAUCUGUCAGCUGCUUCUGACACUAAUUCUUAUCAUGUCCAACCAUUGUGUGUUUAAUAUUUUGCUCCUUUUGUCGAAGUAUUUUUCACGAACCUAAAAACAGUUUUCGAUACUUCAACAGGGAAAAGUACUAAAAUAUAAGCUUUCCUUGAUUUAUUUUGGCCGAUUAGGUUCUGAACGAUAGAAAAUAAAUUAGUUUAACAGGAUACGUUCCAAGCUAGGCAUCUUAAACAGGCA